UGAAGAUCUAAUGUACAGCAUGGUAACUAUAAUUAGUAAUGCUGUAUGUGGGAAUUAACUGGUGGUCCAGUAGCUAAGACGUGAGGCUCCCAAGGCAGGGGGCCCAAGUUCAAUCCUUGGUCAGGGAACUAGAUCUGACAAGCUGCAACUAAAGAUGCUGUGUGCCACAACUAAGGCUUGGUAGAGCCAAAUAAAUAAAUAAAUAUUUUUAAAAAUAAUAAUAAUGUUAUAUUGUGUACCUGAGAGCUGCUAAGGGAAUAGCUCUUAAGUGUUCUUACCACACACACACAGACAAAAAGAGAUAACUGUAAGAUAAUGGAUGUAUUAAUUAACUUGAUUAUGGUAAUCAUUUUAUAAUGUACAUGUAUAUCAAGUCAUCUUGUGCACCUUAAAUAUAUGCAAUUUUGUCAAUUAUACUUCAAUAAAGCUGAAAAAAAAAAAACACCAUGCCUCAGUGUCUUCUCAAAUGAGAAGCAUCUGAAUGAGCAGCUAAUGCGUGAAGCAAGAACUGAAAGCAGAAAGAAGAUGGAUCAAGAGGACAGGAGAGAUAAGCAAACAAAGCAGCAUCUUCCAUGGACAUCAGUACCUUUUCCCAACAAGUCCAAGACCCAGGGCUCCAAAAUACCACUCAUAAGGUUGUACUUCCAGCUACUUGCCUGUUUCCACGUGUGCGUGCUAAGUCACUUCAGUAGUAUCCAGUUCUUUGCAACCCCAUGGACUGUAGACCGCCAGGCUCCUCUGUCCUCUCUCCUGGAUUCUCGAGGCAAGAAGACUGGAGUGGGUUGCCAUGUCCUCCUCCAGGGAAUCUCCCAGACCCAGAGACUGAACCUGUGUCUCUUAUGUCUCCUGCAUUGGCAAGCAGGUUCUCUACCACUAGCGCCGCCUGGGAAGCCCCCUUUUCCAUAAGCAGUACCUGUUUCUGUUACAGGAUUUCAGUUUUUAGAGUGCACUGAAGUAAUCUGUGGGGCUUUAUAAAGUACAAAUUGCAGGACUCCAGAACCAAAAUCUUUUUAGUAGAGCUUGGGAAUCAUUCAUUCUCACUAUUAAUCUGUCCUAAAAUACUCUUCCAAGAUUUAGCCCUCCCCCUUCUUGUCUUUUAGCAAAUUUCCAUUUAUCCUUUAAGAUCUUGGUCCAGUAUUUUCUAUCCAAGAUCUUUCCUGCCCUCCCCAUAGAACAGAAGCCACUCCUUAGUCAUUGUGCCCAUGAGACUUUAAAUAUUAUUCAAAUACAUAGAUUGAUAAAUUAUUUGUGUUAAAAAUAUAUCCCUUAUGAUUCCCAACAGUAUUUAUCAUCAUCUGCCAUAUUAUGUAUUUUAUUUAUUUAUUUAUGUUUCUACCCUCUAGUGUGUAUGCUCCAAUGGGUAGGGGUUUUUUUUCCCCCCCAACUCUUUAAUAAAUUAAAAAUAUCAAAGGAAAACCUGUGAGAGAAAAACUUCUGUCACCACUGUUGAAGAAAGCUACUCAAGACCAUGCAACACAAUGAAGAAAUAACUACCAUCUUCAAAAAUGAGAGAUAACAACAUUUUCAGAAUAUUUUGCAUCAGACCAUGAAGGAUAGCAUGAAAUUAAAAUAUACUAUCAAUUUUGGUUUUGUUUCCAUAAAUGAUAUCUUCAUAAUAUUCAGUUACAUAAGUUUGCUUUUUUCUGCUAUUAUAGACUUUGCCCUGAACUGCUGAGCAAAAAAUUCUAGGCUCUAACUCUGGUUCUGUCUGCAGAAUACUGAGAAACCUCCUUUCACCAUUGUUCUGGGUCUUGUUUUCUUCUUCUUUAAAAUAAACGAGCUAAAUUCGAAUGAGUAGUUUAUAAGCAGUUGGUAGUAGAAUUCUUUUUACUACCUAGAUAAAUGGGAAAUAACAUAUAGAUGGGAUGAGAAGUCUCACUCCAUCUUGACCUCAACAGUCCAUUCACCCCUCUGAUGACCCUAAGGCUCCCAGUUCUGUGUAUAUCUUUUUCAAAAUGUUUGAGGUAUAAAUAUGAAAAGUAUUUAUGAAACAAGUAAAUGGAUAUAUAUUAUAUGAUCUGCCAUGUUCACAGAUAUAAUAAAAUUAACUGAAGGAAG
Molecule: long non-coding RNA, 2058 nt
Organism: Capra hircus (goat)
Lineage: Eukaryota; Metazoa; Chordata; Mammalia; Artiodactyla; Bovidae
Source: Ensembl